RNAcentral lists this ribosomal RNA (377 nucleotides) under uncultured bacterium. RNAcentral's name for it is "bacterial SSU rRNA". It matches the Rfam family "Bacterial small subunit ribosomal RNA", at positions 524 to 898 of the family's 1533-position model. The record is from RNAcentral.
UACGGAGAGUGCAAGCGUUGUUCGGAAUUAUUGGGCGUAAAGCGCGUGUAGGCGGCUCAACAAGUCUGGCGUGAAAGCCUGAAGCUCAACUUCAGAAGUGCGCUGGAAACUGUCGAGCUUGAGUACUGGAGGGGGAAGGGGAAUUCUCGGGUGUAGAGGUGAAAUUCGUAGAUAUCCGGAAGAACAUCAGUGGCGAAGGCGCCUUCCUGGACAGAUACUGACGCUGAGACGCGAAAGCGUGGGGAGCAAACAGGAUUAGAUACCCUGGUAGUCCACGCUGUAAACGAUGGGUGCUAGUUGUCACGGGUAACCAACCCUGUGGUAACGAAGCUAACGCGAUAAGCACCCCGCCUGGGGAAUACGGCCGCAAGGCUAAA